GACCCCCUGGAGUCGACUCCAUUUCCCAAGAAAAGAUGUCAACAGCGCGACUUGUAACAAUUAUAAGGCCGAGGAGGGUUAUUUGAACACACACCAUUCAAUUAUUAUAAAUGAAAGUCACGUUUUUUAACCGCUCCGGUCUCGUCCCAGCGGAAGUGACGCUAGCACGUCAUCAGAAUACAACAGAUCAACACGACGAGAGAGACAUUCUGCCGCUAGACAAAGGUCACCGAGCAGCGACGAAGUUUGCAUUUUCGGUAGAGGUCCAGGGAGCCACGAGGGCGGUGCUAAAGAGACGCGGGUUGCUGACCCCCGGCCUACACCCUGGACUGGCCGCCAGUUCAUCACAGGACACAUGAACAAGCCUUCGCCCUCAAAUCAGAGAAAAACAACAACACCAGAAAUGUGUCCCGUGAAAAACCGUCCGACCAGAACUCUAAUAACUAAAGUUCCUUGGGUGAAUAAUGAAAUGGCAACAGCAGAGGAUGGAUGUCCCAUAACAAGAAGGUGGAGAAAAAGAAGAAGCUUAUCGACUACGGUGUCGGCACGGACUACAAAGGCGGACCUGCACAAAUUUUCAGGUACCAGAAGGUAAGAAAAGUUUCUUUUGCAUAAUAUUGCGAAACAAAACACCAGAAAAUAUGUCUUACCUUAUACACACACCAUAAUAAUACUCCUAUGUUGAAGCACAGUACAAUCCAUCAAGCGGUGCAGUUUCAUAGCUGACCAAAGUCCUACUAAAACAUUUUGAUAGAUUUUUGAGCGCCGUGUGUAAUGUUCUAUAUUUUCAAGGGAGCAUAUACAAUGUUGGUGUUGUUUACUUGAGUCAUAUUGCGGUCUACACGAAAUCAAAUCAAAUCAAUAAUGGAGCAGCAUCUCCUCAUCCGGAAACAACCACACCGGAAAUGUGUCCCGUGAAAAACCGUUCAACCGGAACUCUCUAAUAACUAAACUUCC
Entelurus aequoreus (snake pipefish) is the source of this 957-nucleotide long non-coding RNA. RefSeq lists it as uncharacterized. NCBI's taxonomy places the organism in Eukaryota, Metazoa, Chordata, Actinopteri, Syngnathiformes, Syngnathidae. The transcript is spliced from 5 exons. The record is from RefSeq and is a predicted model, not a curated record.